Quercus robur (English oak) is the source of this 534-nucleotide long non-coding RNA. RefSeq lists it as uncharacterized. The transcript has 2 exons. NCBI's taxonomy places the organism in Eukaryota, Viridiplantae, Streptophyta, Magnoliopsida, Fagales, Fagaceae. The record is from RefSeq and is a predicted model, not a curated record.
GGUAUUGCACGGGGUGCAAUAGCUUUAAUAUCAGCCAUGGAUUAAAUCUAAUGCUCAGAAAAUUGACACGUUAUAUCUCCAGGCUGGCAAUCCGCGUGCUUCAAUUUCUCUCCUAUCUCUUCUCUUCUCAGUUCAGUAGUUCAGCUUUCCCAAAUUUGAAUUUCUCCUAGCUCUCUCUCUUCUCAUUGCACCCACACCACUGCCGUUGGCGGUGCUUAUUACUGGUAUCACCACCACUGGUGGCUACCGGUCUUGAGGGAGAUUCGUCAUGUUGAGAAAUGCGCCAAGCUAUUCUUUAAUUUAUUCAUCUUGUGUAAUGAAAAAAUCACAACAAAUUGAAGUUUCGAAUAGACUUGUCUCAGCCAUGGCAUCAUUUAGGAGAUUCAUCUUUUGCCUUCCAUUGUUGCCAUUGUAUAAUCGAAUUGCUGUGCAAGUUGUAUUUUCAUGUAGUAACUGAUUUUUUGUGUUGAUGAAUAGAUGAAAUGUAAACAAAUUUGUUUGCAAAUAGCAUGUUGUGAUGGAGUUCUAUUAUUA